Molecule: ribosomal RNA, 497 nt
Filed under: uncultured bacterium
Lineage: Bacteria
Description: partial 16S ribosomal RNA
Rfam family: Bacterial small subunit ribosomal RNA
Source: RNAcentral
GAUGAACGCUGGCGGCGUGCCUAAUACAUACAAGUCGAGCGAACAGACGAGGAGCUUGCUCCUCUGACGUUAGCGGCGGACGGGUGAGUAACACGUGGAUAACCUACCUAUAAGACUGGGAUAACUUCGGGAAACCGGAGCUAAUACCGGAUAAUAUAUUGAACCGCAUGGUUCAAUAGUGAAAGACGGUUUUGCUGUCACUUAUAGAUGGAUCCGCGCCGCAUUAGCUAGUUGGUAAGGUAACGGCUUACCAAGGCAACGAUGCGUAGCCGACCUGAGAGGGUGAUCGGCCACACUGGAACUGAGACACGGUCCAGACUCCUACGGGAGGCAGCAGUAGGGAAUCUUCCGCAAUGGGCGAAAGCUUGACGGAGCAACGCCGCGUGAGUGAUGAAGGUCUUCGGAUCGUAAAACUCUGUUAUUAGGGAAGAACAAAUGUGUAAGUAACUAUGCACGUCUUGACGGUACCUAAUCAGAAAGCCACGGCUAACUACGUG